This 406-nucleotide ribosomal RNA is filed under the name uncultured bacterium. Its description in RNAcentral is "partial 16S ribosomal RNA". It matches the Rfam family "Bacterial small subunit ribosomal RNA", at positions 30 to 526 of the family's 1533-position model. The record is from RNAcentral.
AUUGAACGCUGGCGGCAGGCCUAACACAUGCAAGUCGAGCGAGCGGCGGACGGGUGAGUAAUGUAUGGGGAUCUGCCCGAUAGCGGGGGAUAACUCCUGGAAACGGUGGCUAAUACCGCAUACUAUCGGAUGAACCCAUAUGGGAUUAGCGAGUAGGUGGGGUAAAGGCUCUCCUAGGCGACGAUCUCUAGCUGUUCUGAGAGGAUGAUCAGCCACACUGGGACUGAGACACGGCCCAGAUGCCUACGGGAGGCAGCAGUGGGGAAUAUUGAACAAGGGGAGCAAGCCUGAUGCAGCCAUGCCGCGUGUAUGAAGAAGGCCUUAGGGUUGGAAAGUACUUUCAGCGGGGAGGCGUUACCCGCAGAAGAAGCACCGGCUAACUCCGUGCCAGCAGCCGCGGUAAUAC